CCCUUAGAUAUCUUGGAAUGCACGCGGGAUACAAUAAUUAAGAUAAUAAGUUUAUUUUCUUUUGGCUCUUUUUCUCUUCGGAGUUAAUGUUUGCCAAGAAAACCUGUACCGAAAGGUAUGGGAAAUCUCAAAAUCUUAAUUUUGACAAGGAUUGUCUCUUGUAACAGAGGCAUGAAAGAGGAAUACCUAGUAGGCGUGAGUCAACACCUCGCACCGAUUAAGUCCCUGCUUUUUGUACACACCGCCCGUCGCAUCAAGGAACAUGAUUGAAGUCAUGAAGCUUACGGAUAAUGUGUGUUUUUCUUCGGGAAGAUUGAUUAAAAGUAAACUGAAUGGUUUUAAUCUUACCGUGAUGAAGUCGUAACA
RNAcentral lists this ribosomal RNA (366 nucleotides) under uncultured eukaryote. RNAcentral describes it as "partial 18S ribosomal RNA". It matches the Rfam family "Eukaryotic small subunit ribosomal RNA", at positions 1470 to 1796 of the family's 1831-position model. The record is from RNAcentral.